RNAcentral lists this ribosomal RNA (379 nucleotides) under uncultured organism. RNAcentral's name for it is "partial 16S ribosomal RNA". It matches the Rfam family "Bacterial small subunit ribosomal RNA", at positions 523 to 897 of the family's 1533-position model. The record is from RNAcentral.
CGGGGGGGGGGGCAAGCGUUGUUCGGAAUUACUGGGCGUAAAGGGCGCGCAGGCGGGCCUGGCAAGUCCUUCGUGAAAUCCCACGGGCUCAACUGUGGAACUGCGGAGGAUACUUCUAGGCUUGAGUCCGGGAGAGGGGAGUGGAAUUCCCAGUGUAGCGGUGAAAUGCGUAGAUAUUGGGAGGAACACCGGUGGCGAAGGCGGCUCCCUGGACCGGUACUGACGCUGAGGCGCGAAAGCUAGGGGAGCAAACGGGAUUAGAUACCCCGGUAGUCCUAGCUGUAAACGUUGAGCACUUGGUGUGGCGGGUGUCGACCCCUGCCGUGCCGAAGCUAACGCAUUAAGUGCUCCGCCUGGGGAGUACGGUCGCAAAGGCUGA